RNAcentral lists this ribosomal RNA (465 nucleotides) under Vreelandella stevensii. RNAcentral's name for it is "partial 16S ribosomal RNA". It matches the Rfam family "Bacterial small subunit ribosomal RNA", at positions 338 to 795 of the family's 1533-position model. The record is from RNAcentral. Lineage: Bacteria; Pseudomonadati; Pseudomonadota; Gammaproteobacteria; Oceanospirillales; Halomonadaceae.
CCUACGGAGGGCAGCAGUGGGGAAUAUUGGACAAUGGGGGGAACCCUGAUCCAGCCAUGCCGCGUGUGUGAAGAAGGCCCUCGGGUUGUAAAGCACUUUCAGUGAGGAAGAACGCCUGGUGGUUAAUACCCAUCAGGAAAGACAUCACUCACAGAAGAAGCACCGGCUAACUCCGUGCCAGCAGCCGCGGUAAUACGGAGGGUGCGAGCGUUAAUCGGAAUUACUGGGCGUAAAGCGCGCGUAGGUGGCUUGAUAAGCCGGAUGUGAAAGCCCCGGGCUCAACCUGGGAACGGCAUCCGGAACUGUCAAGCUAGAGUGCAGGAGAGGAAGGUAGAAUUCCCGGUGUAGCGGUGAAAUGCGUAGAGAUCGGGAGGAAUACCAGUGGCGAAGGCGGCCUUCUGGACUGACACUGACACUGAGGUGCGAAAGCGUGGGUAGCAAACAGGAUUAGAUACCCCAGUAGUC